CAGUUUGCUUGCAAACUGGAGAUGGCGACCGGCGCACGGGUGAGUAACACGUAUCCAACCUGCCGAUAACUCGGGGAUAGCCUUUCGAAAGAAAGAUUAAUACCCGAUGGCAUAAUUAGACCGCAUGGUCUUAUUAUUAAAGAAUUUCGGUUAUCGAUGGGGAUGCGUUCCAUUAGGCAGUUGGUGAGGUAACGGCUCACCAAACCUUCGAUGGAUAGGGGUUCUGAGAGGAAGGUCCCCCACAUUGGAACUGAGACACGGUCCAAACUCCUACGGGAGGCAGCAGUGAGGAAUAUUGGUCAAUGGACGAGAGUCUGAACCAGCCAAGUAGCGUGAAGGAUGACUGCCCUAUGGGUUGUAAACUUCUUUUAUAUGGGAAUAAAGUUUUCCACGUGUGGAAUUUUGUAUGUACCAUAUGAAUAAGGAUCGGCUAACUCCGUGCCAGCAGCCGCGGUAAUACGGAGGAUCCGAGCGUUAUCCGGAUUUAUUGGGUUUAAAGGGAGCGUAGGUGGACAGUUAAGUCAGUUGUGAAAGUUUGCGGCUCAACCGUAAAAUUGCAGUUGAUACUGGCUGUCUUGAGUACAGUAGAGGUGGGCGGAAUUCGUGGUGUAGCGGUGAAAUGCUUAGAUAUCACGAAGAACUCCGAUUGCGAAGGCAGCUCAC
RNAcentral lists this ribosomal RNA (663 nucleotides) under uncultured Bacteroidales bacterium. RNAcentral's name for it is "bacterial SSU rRNA". It matches the Rfam family "Bacterial small subunit ribosomal RNA", at positions 72 to 729 of the family's 1533-position model. Lineage: Bacteria; Pseudomonadati; Bacteroidota; Bacteroidia; Bacteroidales. The record is from RNAcentral.